Molecule: long non-coding RNA, 2510 nt
Filed under: Solanum tuberosum (potato)
Lineage: Eukaryota; Viridiplantae; Streptophyta; Magnoliopsida; Solanales; Solanaceae
Description: long non-coding RNA (STUB_LNC008298)
Source: RNAcentral
UCCGUGUGAACUUCUUUAAAAGAUAGGUUUUCAUAAUCACCAAAAUGUGUCAAGUAACAAAUAAAAUUUAUUUGAAAAAUGUUAUUCUGAACUAAAUAACUAUAAUAAACCCAAUAUCUAAAGGGAUGUGGGGGUGAACGACUAUACUUUAUCAUCGUUCUAGUUGUUCCAAGCCAAACAAAAUAAAAGCAAGCAUAAACAUAAAUACGAAAAUAUGGAAAAUGUUAAUCAAAAAUAGCAACACAUAUAUGUAUAUAUAAACACGUGAAACUUUGAAGUGGGGAGGAAGCGUAGGACACUAUUGACGCGAUGAAGGCCUCUAGACGCGGGCAAAUUAUGUUGUCGCUUCUCUGAUUUGGACAGAGAUGGAGUUAUGUCACAACUCCAAGUGCGCUCCCAAGUGUACAUGUACAAAAAUAUAAGAUAAAAGAAAUUAGCAGAUGAGCUUCAAACUUAUGAAGAACAAAUCAAAAUGAACUUCACAUAGUUGCCUGGUAAAACAAAUUUGAAUCAACUUAAACCAACAAACACAUUAGUAGACGUGAUUUUUACAACUUAAUAUCUUUCUAAGAUUCAUGUGCAGUUAGAUAUGGAGUAUAUGGUUUAGGGGGUAUUUAUUUAUCCUUUGAGCCUAGCAAGAGAAGCGAACAAUUAUAACACAUAUAAUUUCUAAGGAAUAGACACAAUCUGCAUUUAGAACCAAUUUCUAAGAAGUAGAGAAAGGAUAUUAUAAAUAUUUCUGCCGAUUGUUAAGUAGAGCUAGACUAGUCUUAAGCUACCAGAUUCGUAAUAAUAUAAGAUAACAGCUAUGUACAAACUGAAAUCUGCGAUAUUUCAGCCAAGUAAAUGAUGCACAUUUAGACCAAAACAGAGAAGGAGGUAAUCACAUCCAUGAAUUUGUUCAUGUUCUAUCCUAUGUCGAGAUAUCACAAGAAGAGAGACAACAACUAAAACCAACUGGAAACACACCAAAUAGACAAGAAAAAAGAACUACAAGUCUUAUCGACUUCACAUUAUUUCUUGAGCAAAAAUAAAUUUCCCUUCUUCGUUACUAACUUUAGAAAACACUAGUCUCAAACAAAACAAACGCAGAGAAUCGAACAACCGACUUAAUCGUUUAGGAACUAAUGCAUAUUAAGAUCAAUCCGAUAGAUUUAAAGCAAAAUGAUAAUGAAGUGACAUGCUACCAAAAAAAAAAUUGAAAACAGGGGAAAUAUUUUACCAUUCCCAAAACUUGGUUAAUUCAGGGAGAGAGCUUUUAACGUGCUAAUAUUCAUCAAAUCAUGUAAAAAUGUUUAACAUACAGAUAUCUGGGCAGCAAGUAUAUUCCAAACCAUUUAACUUAAAGAUUUUUAGCUAAAGGGUGAACGCGAUCAACUAAAGCUAACAAAAUGGCUCAAUGAGACAGAUUAGGAUGACUCUAAUGGUCUUAACUGUAUGUGUCUAGACAAAUAUAACUUAGGCGAGGCAUGUCCAUGUCAUAAUACUAUCUGGCAGCAAACGACAAAAUAGUACCAACGAUUCCUGGGAAAUGGCACAACCGAACUAAACCUAGACAACCUCUAAUAACAAAAGGGAAACCAAAUGAAUAUAAAUGAAAGAAUCAUUCAUUCUGCAAGACGAUCAUAACAAAUUAACCUCCACUAAUCCAGGUAGCAACUAUUGACCUGUACUCGAAAAUAAGCGUAAGAUCAGUAGAACAAAGAUUUGCCUAACAUAAUGAGGUUCUAUAACAAUGAACAUUCAAACUAUUUUGAAUAAAACGAAACAGUGAUUCAACUAAUUUUCAGAAUAAGAUAAGCCAUGGCGAAAAUAAGACACUGAUUCAAAUUAGCAGUUAACUAUUUCACAUACAACAAACUCAAAUCAUUUUGAUUCGUAACAAACAAGAUAAAGGAGAAAGAGUAACCAAAAUGUACCUCUUUUGGGGCAGCAAACAAGAGCUUCAACGUCAAGAAUUUCAACUGCGAACUCGAACUUCAACUCGAAGAAGAAACGAAAACAGAGAACAAAAGAUUUUCGGAUUGUUCUUGGACCCUUUUUUGAUGAUUUCCUAAUGGUUGUUCCCCGAUUUUUUUUUCUCGAUCGUUGUCCCUUCCAAAGGAGAAACAAAGUUCUCCUCUUUAUAGCCGAUUUGGGGCCUCUACUACGUUCAAAAAAUAAAUGUUGGAACCUUACACCCAUCAGAUUAAAGGGACAAUUAGCCCAAAAAUCCGAUGGUUCUUCAUGCCUUUCACCUUUUCAGGCGUAGCAGCGAUGGAGGGGCUUUUGAGGUCUACCAUGGUUCAGAAAAGACGAUGGAAGAGACGUAAAGUUGACAUGAGAAGGAUAUGAUUGAUGGACGGCGUGGGGAGAUAUAUUGAUGACCACCGGAAAUUGCCAUUUUCCGGUGGUUUGUAGGUGGAAACGAUGGCAGAGGAGAGAGAUCGAUGGGAGAGGAGAGGAAAAGAGUUUGAUGGGAAGAGAAACGUAUGGGGAAGAAGGAAAACGUUUCUGGGAAAGGGAAGAAG